GUGUGGGGACAGUGGCCAGGUGAGUGGCUCAGAGGUCACUGUGGCCAGACAGCGGGGAUCAGGAGGGGAUUUGCUGAGGACUUUUGGUCAUUGACAGGAAUCGGGUGACUCUUGAGGGAAGCCCUCAACAAGGAUGAAGAGAAGCCAGUGAACAACCAAUGGCCCCAGAGCCAGGAGCCGGGGCAGCGGGCGGGGCUGGAUCUCAGGCAGCCUUCCGGUGCACCUGGGGAGGCGAUCUUCUCUCAAAUGCCCUGGACUUGACACUUGCCAUCGGUGGAGGAGGGAAGACAGCAGCACCACAGCGUCCCAGCUGGGGUCCCCAGCAGUCAGGCGAAUGGGACCCAAGUGUUCUGCAUUCAUGCUUAUUCCCCUGGACAGACAUAGCGCCGGCUCCCCAUCUGCCUUCCCUAGUCAUUGCGCUGCUUCCUGUUUCCCUGAGAAAACUGAAGCAAUCCAACAACAUCUAUGAUGCCCUUGGCCACAUCUCCCGGUGCCUGGACCAGCCUGCAGAGAGCUGUCUGCGUGCCCGGCCCGCGCUGUCCCCUACCAGGACAUCUCCUCAACAUCGCAGUGUCUCCCUUCUCCCCGGAUCAUUCCCAGUGGCGUGCAAACGUGCUUUAUUUUUCUCAUCUUCAAAACAACAGCAGAUCAAAACAAAGAUCCCCUCUUGGCCACACACUCUCAGGCAGAGGUUCCUCGUGGUUACUUAGUUGUUGAUGGUGACAUUUGGGGAUGGUUGAUCAUUUUGCCUGGAAUCCCUUCAGCCUUCUGAUGAGGCCCGAGCAUCUCUUAGCCUAUUGCUUUUGAAUGUAUAAAAUAAUACAUGGGAUGCUAAAGGAAGAGGACGCUGUGGAAAUGCAGUUAUUUAGAGAUCUUAAACAAUUUGUCCCUAGUGAUUUAUGCGCUUCUCUGUUGAUGCAUUAUCAACAGAGGUUGAAACAGCGGCAAUGCAAGUGACCUUCCCAGGUCUCUGCAACACCUGGAAGUUGAUGAGAAAUGUGGGUGGUUUCUGUUGCUGACAGAGUCCCAGGCACUGUCACAUUGCCGUAGGUGCCUGCUCCAUGCAUAGUGAAGGAAAUGCUGUCAGUCAGAUGUCAGUGGAGUAAAACUGUGACUUUUUUCCUAUCCCAGUUCACAGCUUGAAUUUUUCAGGCUCUGGACCCUGUCUUACAACCAUCGCCUCAUUCCCUCAUUCCCCUUGGUGGUCCACGUCCUCUGAAGGCACCCUCUGGGCUCAUUCUCUCCUGUCCCUCCUCUACAUGACCCACUCCAAUCACCCACUAAAACUGUACUUCUCAAGGUCUCCAGCUUCCUUUGAGUUACUAACCCUAUAGAGUGACCUGAUUACGGCCAGACGCAGGGUAGGGCUCUCUCCAGUGUGGACCAUCCUCACUCAGCUCCCUCCCUCUGGGUUGACUCCUCCCGCUUACUCACUCCUUCCCCGUGGCAGGCUCCUGCCCCUCCCCCCAUCUGUGAUGUUAAACCAUUGGGGAAUCAGUCCCCGGCCCCUGCUCACCUCAUCUACUCGCACUCCCUAGGGACUUCCAGCCUCAAAGCUUUCAAUCCCAUCUCCAUGCUGAUAAGUUCCAGUGGACUUCCAGUUCUGUCCCUGAACUCUGCAUUUAUGUAUCUGACCCUUGUUAUCCCACUGGAUGGUGAUGGACGUCUCAAAACUGUCCACAAGCAGAGCGCCUCUUUUCUUUUUUCUUUUUUUAAUUUGUAGAUAUACAUGACCGUAGAGUGUAUUUUGACAUAUUAUACAUACAAGGAGUAUAAUUUAUUCUAAUUAGGAUCCCAUUCUUGUGAUCGUAUGUGAUGUGGAAUUUCACUGAUCAUACAAAAACAUAGGAUAGUGUAGGCGGGGCUGGGGUUGUGGUUCAGUGGCAAAGCACUUGCCUCACACAUUUGAGGCACUGAGUUCGAUCCUCAGCACCACAUAAAAAAUAAAUAAAAUAAAGAUAUUGUGUCCAUGUAUAACUAAAAACAUUUUCUUAAAAAAAGAACAUAGGAUAGUAAUGUCCAAUUCAUUCUACUUUCUUUCCUAUUCUCAUCCCCUUCCCUUCCCUUCACUCCCCUUUGUCUAAUCCACUGAACUUCUAUUCUUCCUCCUGCCUUUUUGUGUGUUAGCAUCCACAUAGCAAAGAGGACAUUUGGUCUUUGGUUUUUUUGGAGUUAUAAAGUCGUUCUUUUUAUGGCUGAGUAAUAUUUCAUUGUGUGUGUGUGUGUGUGUAUAUUCCAUAGCUUAGCUAUUGUGAAUUAAGCUGCUAUAAAUAUGUGGCUGCGUCACUGUCACUGUAGUAUGCUGUUUUUAAGUCCUUUGGACAGAAGAGAGUAAUAGCUGGGUCAAAUGGUGGUUCCAUUCCAAGUUUUCUGAGGAGUCUCCAUACUGCUUUCCAUAGUGGUUGCACCAGUUUGCAGUCCUACCAGCAGUGUAUGUAUGUGCCUUUUUCCCCACAUCCUCACCAACAUUUAUCAUUACUUGUAUUCUUUAUUUAUUUUAAAUUUUUAUUUGCUGUAAUUAGUUAUACAUGACAGUAGAAUGCAUUUAUGCACUUUGAUAUAUCAUACAUAGAUGGGAUAUGAUUUCUCAUUUUUCUGAGUGUACAUGUUGCAGCAUCAUAUUGGUCAUGCAGUCACAUAUAGACACACAGUAAUGAUGUCUGUUUCAUUCUACUAUCUUUCCUAUCCCCAAAUCCCCUCCCCUCCCCUCCCAUCACUUCCCUCUACCUAAUCUAAGGUAAAGCUAUUCUUACCUAGUGCCUCCCCCGCCUUAUUGUGAAUUAGUAUCCGAAUAUUAAAGAAAACAUUCAGCCUUUGGUUUUAUGGGAUUGGCUUAUUUCGCUUAGCAUGAUAUUCUCCAACCACUUACUGGCAAACGCCAUAAUUUUACUCUUCUUUAAAGCUGAGUGAUAUUCCAUUGAGUAUAUAUACCGAAUUUUCUUUGUCCACUCAUCCACUGAAGGACACCUAGGUUGGUUCCAUAAUCUAGCUAUUGUGAAUUGAGCUGCUAUAAACAUUGAUUUUUUGGCUGUGUCACUGUAGUAUGCUAAUUUUAAGUCCUUUGGGUGUAAACCAAGGAGUGGGAUAGCUGGGUCAAAUGGUGGUUCCAUUCCCAAUUUUCUGAGGAACCUCCAUACUGCUUUCCAUAGUGGUUGCACCAAUCGCAGUCCCACCAGCAGUGUAUGAGUGUGCCUUUUUUGCCACAUCCUCACCAACACUUAUUGUUGCCAGUAUUCUUGAUGAUUGCCAUUCUGACAGGAGUGAGAUGAAAUCUUAGAGUAGUUUUGAUUAGCAUUUCUCUAAUUGCUAGAGAUGUUGAACACUUUUUCAUAUAUUUGUUGAUCAUAUAUUGCUUCUUCUGUGAAGUAUGUUACUUGUAUUCUUGAUAAUUGCCAUUCUGGCCAGAAUGAGAUAGAAUCUCAUUAAUUUAAUUUGUGUUUCUCUAAUUGCUAGAGAUGUUGAGCAUUUUUUUUUUUAUAUUUGUUGACCAUUCGUAUUUUUUCUCAGGUGAAGUGCUUGUUUAGUUCCUUUGCCCAUUUAUUGAUUGGGUUGUUCCUUUGUUUGUUUGUUUUUGGUGAUAAGUCUUUUGAGUUCUUUGUACAUCCUGGAGAUUAAUGAUCUAUCUGAGACGCAGGUGGCAGAGAUUUUCUCCCAUUCCGCAGGCUCUCUUCACAUUCUUGAUUGCUUCCUUUGCAGUAAGGAAGCUUUUUAGUUUAAUACCAUCCCGUUAUUGAUUCUUGAUUUCCUUCUUGCACUUUAGGAGUCUUGUGGAGAAAGUCGGUUCCUAAGCUGACAUGAUGGAAAAUUGGUCCUACGUUUUCUUCUAGUAGGUGUAGGGUCUCUGGUCUAAUUCCUAGGUCCUUGAUCCACUUUGAGUUGAGUUUGGGGCAGGGUGAGAGAUAGGGGUUCAAUUUCAUUCUGCUACAUAUGGAUUUCCAAUUUUCCCAGCACCAUUUGUUGAAGAGGAUAUUUUUUCUCUAAUGUAGGUUUAUGGUGCCUCUGUCUAGUAUGAGAUCACCGUAUUUAUGUGGGUUUGUCUCUGUGUCUUCUAUUCUAUUCCAUUGGUCUUCAUCCCUAUUUUGAUGCCAAUACCAUGCUGGUUUUGUAACUACAGCUCUGUAGUAUAACUUAAGGUCUGGGACUGUCAUGCCUCCUCUCUUUUCUUACUGAGGAUUGCUUUGACCAUUCUGGGCCUCUUAUUUUUCCAAAUGAAUUUCAUGACUGCUUUUUCUAUUUAUAUGAAGAAUGUCAUUGGAAUUUUAAUAGGAAUUGCAUUAAAUCUGUAUAAUGUUUUUGGUAUUAUGGCCAUAUUGACGAUACUAAUCCAGCCUAUCCAAGAACAUGGGAGAUCUUUCCAUCUUCUAAGGUUUUCUUCAAUUUCUUUCUUUAGUGUUCUGAGGUUUUCAUUGUAGAGGUCUUUUACCUCUUUUGUUAGAUUGAUUCCCGAGUACCUUAUUUUAUUCUUUGAGGCUAUUUUGAAUUGGAUAGUUUUCCUAAUUUCUUUUUCAGCUGAUUCAUCAUUGGUAUAUAGAAAUGUAAUUGAUUUAUGGGUGUUAAUUUUAUGUCCUACUACUUUGCUGAAUUCAAUUAUGAGUUCUAGAAGUUUUCUGGUAGAGUUUUUUGGGUCUUCUAAAUAUAGAAUCAUGUCAUCAGCAAACAGGGAUAGUUCGAGCUCUUCUUUUUUUUUUUUUUUUGUAUCCCUUUAAUUUCUUUCUUUUGCCUAAUUGCUUUGGCUAGAGUUUCAAGGUCUAUGUUGAAAAGAAGUGAUAAAAGAGGACAUACUUGUCUCGUUCCAGGUUUGGAAGGAAUGUUUUCAAUUUUUCUCCAUUUAGAACGAUGUUUGUCUUGGGUUUAAUGUAUAUAGCUUUUACAAUGUUGAGGUAUGUCCCUACUAUCCCUAGUUUUUCUAGUGUUUUGAAAAUGAAUGGAUGUUGUAUUUUGUCAAAUGCUUUUUAUGCAUCUAAUUAAAUAAUCAUGUGAUUCUUGACUUUAAGUCUGUUGAUGUGGUGAAUUACGUUUAUUGAUUUCUGUGUGUUGAACCAAACUUGCAUCCCUGGGAUGAACCCCACUUGAUCAUGAUGCACUAUCUUUUUAAUAUGUUUUUGUACAGAAUGCCUCUUCUCUUUACUUUCUGUAUAAGUCAGGGCUGUCCUAGAGACAGAACUAAUAAGACGUGUGAGGAAUUGGUUCAUGUUAUUAUAGAAGUUGGCAAGUCCAAAAUCCACUGAGUGGGCCAGGAGGUUGGAGGCCCAGGAGAGAUGCUACUGCUGCCCCAGUCACAAGGCAGUCCCCUGCAGAACACUGAAGGAAUGAGGUUGAAAUGGGGUCUGAAGGCAAUCUGCCGGGGAAAAGACUUUUCUCUUGAAACAUUCAAGAAAAUUUUAAGAACAUUCAAGAAAUGUUCUUAAAUGUUAGUGCCCCCCCAAAAAAAAUUAAUAUGUGAGAGCUCUAACCCACCAGGUGAUAGUAUUUGAACAUGGGGCUUUGGAAGGCAAUUAGGGUUAGAUUAGGUCAUGAAGGUGAGAUGCCGUGAUGGGAUUAGUGGCCUUAAGAGGAAAAAAAGAAAGGGCUCUCUCCACGUGUACAUAAAGAAGAGUUAGUGACUACACAGUGAGAACCCUUGCAGGAACUUUGAUCUUGUACUUCGCAGUCUCCAGAAUUGUGAGAAAAUAUGUUUCCUUACCUUCAGCCACCACAUGGGGUAUAAUGAUACCUCGUCAUGGCCGUCUGAGUUGACGUAAGACACCAUUUUUUUGUUCUAUUCAGGCCUUCUACUGAUUGGAUAAGACCCACAUUAAGAAGGGCAAUCUACUUUACUUAAAUUCUGCUGACUCAAAUGUUAAUUCCAUCCCAAGCAUUCUCACAGAGAUUUUUUUUUUUAAAGUAACGUAUGACCAAAUACCUUGGCACCCCAUGGCAAUAAAUGGCAGCUCCAUUUCUCCAGUGACUGAAGACCAAAACCUUGGCCAUGUCUCUCACCCCUCAGCUAAACCACUGGCAAAUCCUGCCAGUCCCACCUUCCAGAUGUACUCAGACACCAACAUUUUCUCGGCUGUACCUACCUUUAUCACUAUGACACUAGCCCAGUGUCCCAGUAUCUCUUACCUGAAUGACCACAAUAGCCUCCUAUUGGUCACCCUGAUUCAGCCCAGAAAUGACUUUGGACGAGUUACUUAACCUCUCUAAGACUCAGUUUUCCCAAAUGAGGACAAUAAACACAUUGCAGAUUUAAGAAUUAAAUAAACACCAAUGGGAAGACUUAGCUGUGGGUUGGCAUAUCAUAAAUGCUGACCAAAUUUUGCUAUGAUUAGUUUUAGUCUUAUCAUUAAUAACUAACAGCCACCUGGGCUCAAAAUGAGCCUACAGAGAGUGAGCUUUAAACAUCAUUAUUUUAUUUAGCCUCAGUAAAUCUUAGCCUUAUGCUUUCAUUUGACACCACAUUUGUAACCACAGAAAUAUAUUCCUAUUUCAGUACUCUAAUAAAUAAUUGGCAGAGUCUUACCUAAUUCACAGAAUAGUUGUCUUGUUCAUGAUGGCUUCCAGCCCAGCUGUGACAAUGUCCUGUUGCUUGGGGUAUUUUUUCUAACUUUUUUUUUUCUGUUUUGA
Marmota monax (woodchuck) is the source of this 6606-nucleotide RNA transcript. It is a transcript of the gene named claudin 14, with no coding region annotated. The transcript has 3 exons. The record is from RefSeq and is a predicted model, not a curated record. Lineage: Eukaryota; Metazoa; Chordata; Mammalia; Rodentia; Sciuridae.